RNAcentral lists this transfer RNA (68 nucleotides) under Clephydroneura sp. Its description in RNAcentral is "tRNA-Glu". It matches the Rfam family "tRNA". Rfam says of the family: Transfer RNA (tRNA) molecules are approximately 80 nucleotides in length. Lineage: Eukaryota; Metazoa; Arthropoda; Insecta; Diptera; Asilidae. The record is from RNAcentral.
AUUUAUAUAGUUUAAAAAUAAAACUCUACACUUUCACUGUAAAAAUAAAGCAAUAGCUUUUAUAAAUU